CAGAGGUUUCAGGAUACUGUAGAUAGGCCUUCUUCUUAGUCCCUUGAUUGAAGAUGUUUAUUGAUUAUGGAGGCACUUUAGAAUACAAUGCAGAAAAGAUUUAAAAUAAGUAGUGAGGACAAUUAUUCUUUUUCGUUUGUUGACACAGUCAAAUGGAGAUGAAGGUGGCAAGUGGCGAAAGUGAUGGCUGAAAUAUCGAAGAUUUCUUUUAUUCUUUUGGAUGUCUUUUCUUUUCCCUUUUAUUUUAGCCUCUCCUCCUUUCAUUUUUCUCACAAACCAUUUUAUACUAUCUCAAAUGUCUUAACUUUCCAUCUCUGUGACGGAUACCAACAUGACAUUAUUUUAGAUAUUUAUUUCAUCCAACACCUUCGUUUAUAUUACUCAUGAUUUAAUUGUAUUGGGGACAAGAAUCCAUGGGCUGAGCUACAUGAGUUGUUAUCACGUG
This 445-nucleotide long non-coding RNA is filed under the name Androctonus crassicauda. Lineage: Eukaryota; Metazoa; Arthropoda; Arachnida; Scorpiones; Buthidae. The record is from RNAcentral.